CGCAAGAGAGAGUGGCGCACGGGUGCGUAACGCGUGGGAAUCUACCCCUGACUACGGAACAACCCAGGGAAACUUGGGCUAAUACCGUAUAAUGCCUCCGGACCAAAGAUUUAUCGGUCAGGGAUGAGCCCGCGUUGGAUUAGCUAGUUGGUGAGGUAAUGGCUCACCAAGGCUACGAUCCAUAGCUGGUCUGAGAGGAUGAUCAGCCACACUGGAACUGAGACACGGUCCAGACUCCUACGGGAGGCAGCAGCGAGGAACAUUGGACAAUGGGGGCAACCCUGAUCCAGCCAUGCCGCGUGAGUGAUGAAGGCCUUCGGG
Molecule: ribosomal RNA, 321 nt
Filed under: uncultured bacterium
Lineage: Bacteria
Description: bacterial SSU rRNA
Rfam family: Bacterial small subunit ribosomal RNA
Source: RNAcentral